Molecule: ribosomal RNA, 467 nt
Filed under: uncultured bacterium
Lineage: Bacteria
Description: partial 16S ribosomal RNA
Rfam family: Bacterial small subunit ribosomal RNA
Source: RNAcentral
GAUGAACGCUGGCGGCGUGCUUAACACAUGCAAGUCGAACGGAAAGGCCCAAGCUUGCUUGGGUGCUCGAGUGGCGAACGGGUGAGUAACACGUGGGUGAUCUGCCCUGCACUUCGGGAUAAGCCUGGGAAACUGGGUCUAAUACCGGAUAGGACCACCUCUUGGAUGGUGUGGGUGAAAGUUUUUUCGGGGUGGGAUGGGCUCGCGGCCUUUCAGCUUGUUGGUGGGGUAAUGGCCUAACAAAGCGUCGAGGGGUAGCCGGCCUGGGAGGGUGUACGGGCAAAAUUGGGAUGGAGAACGGGCCAGACUUCCUCCGGGGGCAAGCAUUGGGGAUAAUGGAACAAUGGGGGGAAGCUUGAUGAACCACGGCGGCGGGGGGGAGGAGGGCUUCCGGUUUGUAAAUCCUUUCGCCCGGGGACGAACGGUGAGUGACGGUACCUGGUAAAGAAGCACCGGCUAACUACGUG